RNAcentral lists this ribosomal RNA (253 nucleotides) under uncultured bacterium. RNAcentral's name for it is "partial 16S ribosomal RNA". It matches the Rfam family "Bacterial small subunit ribosomal RNA", at positions 524 to 776 of the family's 1533-position model. The record is from RNAcentral.
UACGAGUGCCUCAAGCGUUAUCCGGAAUCAUUGGGCGUAAAGGUUGUGUAGGUGGUUGUGUUAGUCUUUUGUUAAAUUCUUCGGCUUAACCGGGGGCAUGCAAGGGAAACGGCACGACUAGAGGAUGCGAGGGGUCUGCGGAACUCAUAGUGUAGCGGUGAAAUGCGUUGAUAUUAUGGGGAACACCAAAAGCGAAGGCAGCAGACUGGAGCACUCCUGACACUGAAACAAGAAAGCGUGGGUCGCGAAUGGG